AACGAACGCUGGCGGCAUGCCUAACACAUGCAAGUCGAACGAGACCUUCGGGUCUAGUGGCGCACGGGUGCGUAACGCGUGGGAACCUGCCCUUAGGUUCGGCAUAACUCCCCGACAGGGGUGCUAAUACCGGAUAAUGUCUUCGGACCAAAGAUUUAUCGCCUUUGGAUGGGCCCGCGUUGGAUUAGCUAGUUGGUAGGGUAAAAGCCUACCAAGGCGACGAUCCAUAGCUGGUCUGAGAGGAUGAUCAGCCACACUGGGACUGAGACACGGCCCAGACUCCUACGGGAGGGAGCAGUGGGGAAUAUUGGACAAUGGGCGAAAGCCUGAUCCAGCAAGGCCGCGUGAGUGAUGAAGGCCGUAGGGUUGUAAAGCUCUUUUACCCGGGAUGAUAAUGACAGUACCGGGAGAAUAAGCUCCGGCUAACUACGUG
RNAcentral lists this ribosomal RNA (433 nucleotides) under uncultured bacterium. RNAcentral's name for it is "partial 16S ribosomal RNA". It matches the Rfam family "Bacterial small subunit ribosomal RNA", at positions 29 to 507 of the family's 1533-position model. The record is from RNAcentral.